UAGGGAAUCUUCGGCAAUGGACGAAAGUCUGACCGAGCAACGCCGCGUGAGUGAAGAAGGUUUUCGGAUCGUAAAACUCUGUUGUUAGAGAAGAACAAGGACGUUAGUAACUGAACGUCCCCUGACGGUAUCUAACCAGAAAGCCACGGCUAACUACGUGCCAGCAGCCGCGGUAAUACGUAGGUGGCAAGCGUUGUCCGGAUUUAUUGGGCGUAAAGCGAGCGCAGGCGGUUUCUUAAGUCUGAUGUGAAAGCCCCCGGCUCAACCGGGGAGGGUCAUUGGAAACUGGGAGACUUGAGUGCAGAAGAGGAGAGUGGAAUUCCAUGUGGAGCGGUGAAAUGCGUAGAUAUAUGGAGGAACACCAGUGGCGAAGGCGGCUCUCUGGUCUGUAACUGACGCUGAGGCGCGAAAGCGUGGGGAGCAAACAGG
This 429-nucleotide ribosomal RNA is filed under the name Gemmatimonadota bacterium. RNAcentral's name for it is "Gemmatimonadetes bacterium partial 16S ribosomal RNA". It matches the Rfam family "Bacterial small subunit ribosomal RNA", at positions 355 to 776 of the family's 1533-position model. The record is from RNAcentral. Lineage: Bacteria; Pseudomonadati; Gemmatimonadota.